RNAcentral lists this long non-coding RNA (908 nucleotides) under Solanum tuberosum (potato). Its description in RNAcentral is "long non-coding RNA (STUB_LNC009692)". Lineage: Eukaryota; Viridiplantae; Streptophyta; Magnoliopsida; Solanales; Solanaceae. The record is from RNAcentral.
GGGUCUGUACUAACACGGAUUUUCAUGUCUAAUUAUAUAUUAAAAAGAGGCUAUAGAAGCAGUACUCCCUGUAUUGUCGGCUUACAAAUUGGGGGUAUUUUUGGUACUUCAAAAAUUAUUUGUUUUAGUUCUAUUAAACUUUAUUUUUGAAAAAAGACAUAUUUAUUGAAGUUAUCUCGAAAAGUCAGUUAUACGCUUAAACUAUCAUGACGAUUUAUUACACACUUUUACUGUUUAAGAGUGGAUUAAUGUAUCCCCUAAAAUUGACGCGAUAAAAAAAUUAAAAAUAAAUUAAAAAGAUGAGCGUCCAAUAUAAAAAUUAAAAAUAAAAAAUCCUCCUUCCCCACCCCUCAUAUCUCUUCUUCUUCACACCCACCCUCUUCUUCUUCACACCCAUCAAUUAUCCUCUUCAUCUUCACACACCACCCAUUAAAAAAUCAAAAUUGUUACUUGUUGAAUAAAAGAAAAAGAGAGGAAGAGAGAUAAAUGUUGAGGAAUGAAACAGAAAGAGCACUUCAUAAAGCUCCAUCAGAAAUUUCUCUGACUGAAGUCUGCACAAGUCAGAUUCAAAUAGUAUCGGUGGAUAGAAUAUCUUUACAGACGGUAUUUUGUAUACUAUAUUCCCAUACAGGAAAAAAACUAAACUAAUUUAUAAUCCUUAAGCAUUUGAAGAACCUGAACAUGCCUAAACUGAUAUUGUUCUUUGGAAUUAUGAUCAAUUAAAAAAAUCUAGAGAUCUUCCUUAACAACAUGACCAAAAAUUGAACAAUAGUGUUUUUAAUCGGGAAGAAUAUAGAAAAACAAGCACUGCAACACGAUUCGAUUUGACUUUUAAAACAAAGAAUAAAGAAUUGAUAGUGAAGGUGGCCGGCCAUGAUUUUUUCGGUAAGAUCAGAGAUGAAGUGGGU